CGUGCUUAACACAUGCAAGUCGAACGAGAAUCUGCGGAAAGAGGAUUCGUCCAAUUGAAGCAGAGGACAGUGGCGGACGGGUGAGUAACGCGUGAGGAACCUGCCUUCAGGAUGGGGACAACAGACGGAAACGACUGCUAAUACCGAAUACGUUCCUUAGGUCGCAUGACUUUAGGAAGAAAGGGUGGCCUCUACUUGUAAGCUAUCGCCUGAAGAGGGGUUUGCGUCUGAUUAGGUAGUUGGUGAGGUAACGGCCCACCAAGCCGACGAUCAGUAGCCGGUCUGAGAGGAUGAACGGCCACACUGGAACUGAGACACGGUCCAGACUCCUACGGGAGGCAGCAGUGGGGAAUCUUCCGCAAUGGGCGAAAGCCUGACGGAGCAACGCCGCGUGAGUGAUGACGGCCUUCGGGUUGUAAAGCUCUGUGAUCGGGGACGAACGGUCAGCAGACGAAUACUCUGCUGAAUUGACGGUACCCGAAUAGCAAGCCACGGCUAACUACGUG
RNAcentral lists this ribosomal RNA (506 nucleotides) under uncultured bacterium. Its description in RNAcentral is "bacterial SSU rRNA". It matches the Rfam family "Bacterial small subunit ribosomal RNA", at positions 43 to 507 of the family's 1533-position model. The record is from RNAcentral.